UCAACUUUUUGAUGAGAUUCAAAUUUUAUGACCAGGCCCUGUAUGUAAAAAUUUGUUUAACAUAGUCAGAUUAGUUCAUCUAAAACGUUGGGAUAUUUAAAAUGAAAAGCUUGACACCAUCGUACAUCUCUCACAAACCUGACCAGACAUCUCUAGACCCGAAUGACCCAAUGUCAAAAAAGCAAUAAAAUAGGUAGGUAAACAGGUCUCCAAAAACAGUUAUAGUUUCAUUAUUCUCUCUUUACUGUUCAGUCAUUCGUUGAAGAACUCAAGGGAAUGUCUCAAGAAAAAUCUCCCGCCAAUCCAAAAAGGAUUUUGCUCCCUCAACACAUUAAAAGUUUCAUUCGGAAGUUAUCAACUUAAUGCAAUCAAAGCCUGCAGAAGAGGCCGAAGUUCCAGACGGUUCCUCUCCAUCAAGAUAUGUUAUAGAUUCUGACAUGGCAUACCGAGAAGCUCAAGAGGAGCAAAAAAGCGUAGCAGGUGCUUACGAUUCUGACGAGGCGUACCGAGAUUUACCCGAAGUCCUUCUGGGCCCUGCACAAGAACUGUUUCUCUGCAAAAUUGCCGACAACAAACACUAAAUCGUUUUCUACCAAGCGUUCAAGCUGUAAGAAAUGACACACUGUUACAGAAUACCACACCAGCCGAAUGGAGUCAGCGGGAAGCGACCUGAUUCUCCAACACGGGAACAUGAUCGCGUCCCUGGGGGAGGCCGUGACGGAGAAGGUCCACGCUAUGCGGCGGUUGGAGGCGAGGCUGCCACCUGAGCAGCAACCCCCGUCACAAGACCUGGCUGGAGUGCCCCUGCCAUCGUCUCCACCGUCGCCGAGGAGGACCAUACAGCUGAGCUUUCCCCAGGGAUUCGGCGGGGACGCUACCCAGUGCUCUGGGUUCCUGCUCCAGUUGGAGCUCUACUUUGCCUCCCUCAGCCCUCACCCGGGGAAUAGGGA
Long non-coding RNA from Esox lucius (northern pike), 950 nucleotides. RefSeq lists it as uncharacterized. The record is from RefSeq and is a predicted model, not a curated record. NCBI's taxonomy places the organism in Eukaryota, Metazoa, Chordata, Actinopteri, Esociformes, Esocidae. The transcript is spliced from 5 exons.